UACGUGGGGACCGAGCGUUGUCCGGAAUCAUUGGGCGUAAAGAGCGUGUAGGCGGCCAAUUAAGUCCUGCGUGAAAUCUCGGGGCUCAACCCCGAGCGGUCGUGGGAAACUGGUUGGCUAGAGUGCGGGAGAGGAGAGUGGAAUUCCUGGUGUAGCGGUGAAAUGCGCAGAUAUCAGGAAGAACACCCGUGGCGAAGGCGGCUCUCUGGAACGCAACUGACGCUGAGACGCGAAAGCGUGGGGAGCAAACAGG
RNAcentral lists this ribosomal RNA (253 nucleotides) under uncultured bacterium. RNAcentral describes it as "partial 16S ribosomal RNA". It matches the Rfam family "Bacterial small subunit ribosomal RNA", at positions 524 to 776 of the family's 1533-position model. The record is from RNAcentral.